Molecule: transfer RNA, 69 nt
Filed under: pig gut metagenome
Rfam family: tRNA
About the family: Transfer RNA (tRNA) molecules are approximately 80 nucleotides in length.
Source: RNAcentral
CCGAUGUAGCUCAGAUGGUAGAGCAACUGAUUCGUAAUCAGUAGGUCUGGGGUUCGAUUCCCCACAUCG